RNAcentral lists this ribosomal RNA (253 nucleotides) under uncultured bacterium. RNAcentral's name for it is "partial 16S ribosomal RNA". It matches the Rfam family "Bacterial small subunit ribosomal RNA", at positions 524 to 776 of the family's 1533-position model. The record is from RNAcentral.
UACGAAGGGGGCGAGCGUUGUUCGGAAUUACUGGGCGUAAAGGGCGCGUAGGCGGCGACUCUAGUCAGAUGUGAAAGUCCUGGGCUUAACCUGGGGACUGCAUUUGAUACUGGGUUGCUUGAAUUCGGGAGAGGAUAGCGGAAUUCCCAGUGUAGAGGUGAAAUUCGUAGAUAUUGGGAAGAACACCGGUGGCGAAGGCGGCUCACUGGCCAGUUUCUGACGCUGCAGCGCGAAAGCGUGGGGAUCAAACAGG